This 496-nucleotide ribosomal RNA is filed under the name uncultured bacterium. RNAcentral's name for it is "partial 16S ribosomal RNA". It matches the Rfam family "Bacterial small subunit ribosomal RNA", at positions 28 to 507 of the family's 1533-position model. The record is from RNAcentral.
GAUGAACGCUGGCGGCGUGCCUAAUACAUGCAAGUCGAGCGAACAGACGAGGAGCUUGCUCCUUUGACGUUAGCGGCGGACGGGUGAGUAACACGUAGGUAACCUACCUAUAAGACUGGGAUAACUUCGGGAAACCGGAGCUAAUACCGGAUAAUAUUUCGAACCGCAUGGUUCGAUAGUGAAAGAUGGCUUUGCUAUCACUUAUAGAUGGACCUGCGCCGUAUUAGCUAGUUGGUAAGGUAACGGCUUACCAAGGCAACGAUACGUAGCCGACCUGAGAGGGGGAUCGGCCAAACGGAACCUGAAAACGGUCCCAGACCCUAACGGGAGGCAGAAGUAGGGAAUCUUCGGAAAUGGGGGAAAGCCUGAGGGAGAAACGCGGCUGAAGGAAUAAAGGUCUUCGGUUCGAAAAACUCUUUAUUAGGGAAGAACAAACGUGUAAGUAACUGUGCACGUCUUGACGGUACCUAAUCAGAAAGCCACGGCUAACUACGUG